RNAcentral lists this ribosomal RNA (1536 nucleotides) under Klebsiella pneumoniae. Its description in RNAcentral is "bacterial SSU rRNA". It matches the Rfam family "Bacterial small subunit ribosomal RNA". The record is from RNAcentral. Lineage: Bacteria; Pseudomonadati; Pseudomonadota; Gammaproteobacteria; Enterobacterales; Enterobacteriaceae.
UUGAAGAGUUUGAUCAUGGCUCAGAUUGAACGCUGGCGGCAGGCCUAACACAUGCAAGUCGAGCGGUAGCACAGAGAGCUUGCUCUCGGGUGACGAGCGGCGGACGGGUGAGUAAUGUCUGGGAAACUGCCUGAUGGAGGGGGAUAACUACUGGAAACGGUAGCUAAUACCGCAUAAUGUCGCAAGACCAAAGUGGGGGACCUUCGGGCCUCAUGCCAUCAGAUGUGCCCAGAUGGGAUUAGCUAGUAGGUGGGGUAACGGCUCACCUAGGCGACGAUCCCUAGCUGGUCUGAGAGGAUGACCAGCCACACUGGAACUGAGACACGGUCCAGACUCCUACGGGAGGCAGCAGUGGGGAAUAUUGCACAAUGGGCGCAAGCCUGAUGCAGCCAUGCCGCGUGUGUGAAGAAGGCCUUCGGGUUGUAAAGCACUUUCAGCGGGGAGGAAGGCGUUAAGGUUAAUAACCUUGUCGAUUGACGUUACCCGCAGAAGAAGCACCGGCUAACUCCGUGCCAGCAGCCGCGGUAAUACGGAGGGUGCAAGCGUUAAUCGGAAUUACUGGGCGUAAAGCGCACGCAGGCGGUCUGUCAAGUCGGAUGUGAAAUCCCCGGGCUCAACCUGGGAACUGCAUUCGAAACUGGCAGGCUAGAGUCUUGUAGAGGGGGGUAGAAUUCCAGGUGUAGCGGUGAAAUGCGUAGAGAUCUGGAGGAAUACCGGUGGCGAAGGCGGCCCCCUGGACAAAGACUGACGCUCAGGUGCGAAAGCGUGGGGAGCAAACAGGAUUAGAUACCCUGGUAGUCCACGCCGUAAACGAUGUCGAUUUGGAGGUUGUGCCCUUGAGGCGUGGCUUCCGGAGCUAACGCGUUAAAUCGACCGCCUGGGGAGUACGGCCGCAAGGUUAAAACUCAAAUGAAUUGACGGGGGCCCGCACAAGCGGUGGAGCAUGUGGUUUAAUUCGAUGCAACGCGAAGAACCUUACCUGGUCUUGACAUCCACAGAACUUUCCAGAGAUGGAUUGGUGCCUUCGGGAACUGUGAGACAGGUGCUGCAUGGCUGUCGUCAGCUCGUGUUGUGAAAUGUUGGGUUAAGUCCCGCAACGAGCGCAACCCUUAUCCUUUGUUGCCAGCGGUUAGGCCGGGAACUCAAAGGAGACUGCCAGUGAUAAACUGGAGGAAGGUGGGGAUGACGUCAAGUCAUCAUGGCCCUUACGACCAGGGCUACACACGUGCUACAAUGGCAUAUACAAAGAGAAGCGACCUCGCGAGAGCAAGCGGACCUCAUAAAGUAUGUCGUAGUCCGGAUUGGAGUCUGCAACUCGACUCCAUGAAGUCGGAAUCGCUAGUAAUCGUAGAUCAGAAUGCUACGGUGAAUACGUUCCCGGGCCUUGUACACACCGCCCGUCACACCAUGGGAGUGGGUUGCAAAAGAAGUAGGUAGCUUAACCUUCGGGAGGGCGCUUACCACUUUGUGAUUCAUGACUGGGGUGAAGUCGUAACAAGGUAACCGUAGGGGAACCUGCGGUUGGAUCACCUCCUU